UAUGCUUUCCACAUGUGUUUAGUAUUAUCGGUGUUUUUACAAUAAUAACUGUGGUCUUGAAAGGGACUAAAAUUAAUUAAAAUGCCUGGCUGGAGAGAACCUCCUUGGGGUAAGUGCAGGGGGUGUGGGCAGUCAUCUUGUCCAUUCCCCUGUCUCUGGUUGAGUCUAUACCCCCGUUGGCCCAAUCAGCCGGUCUUAGAAGAUGCCAGUGCCGGAACAUCUGCAGUCUUAGAGGUUAAAAUUCUUUUAGGGUAAUGUUUCUUGGUAUUUAAACUACAGUAAGAAAGGAAGAGCAAACACUUAGAUGUUGUGUUUGCCAUUUGCAGAACUGCACUGAGAAAGCCCCCACUGGUUGUAUUUAUCAAAGUCUGCUGCGUGCCCUCAUCCAAAGACCCCGUCUGAGAGCAACCCUUGGUUCACAGAUGAACAAUUUGGCUCUUGAUUUAGGGCAGGGUUUCUCAAGCUCAUUGCAGCCCUGUUGACAUUUGGAGCUGAAUCAUUCUUUGUGGGCGGGGGCUGUUCUGUGCACUGUAGGAUGUUUAGCAGUGCCCUUGACCUCUACCCACCAGAUGCCAGUAGCAUUCCUACCCACAAGUGUAAAAACCAAAAAUGUCCUCAGACAUUGCCAGGUAUCCCCUGGAGAACCAAAUCGCCUCCAGUUGAGAACCACUGAUUUAGGGCAAGGCUCUCUGGCAUCCCAACCACCUUCCCCCAUUCCCACCCACCUGCUCCUCUCCUCCAGGGAAGCAGUGCUCAUCUAGGUUGUCAUGACAUGCAAAUGUGUCACCAUCACACAGGGGAACAAGUGACGGGCUGAUGAAUAACACCCUGAGGUUUGGGAGUGAUUCACUUUUUAAAAACAAAUCAGAACAGGUACUAACCUAGCAACAUCCCUUUCACUCCCUUACAGUCCAAGAUGAUUUUCCGAGUGGCCAGAGUUGCCCAUCGCUCCUAGCCUGUCUCAUGGAGGUCACAGCCAGGACGAGGUUAGCCGCUUUUGCUCAUUAGCUGAAAACUGUAACCACUGAAAGUUCGCUGUUUCGAUUCUGAGCAAGAUGCUAUGGCAGAAACAGGACCAUGAUGAACUACUUAGAAAAAUACAUAAGGCCAUACCCACGCCAGAGACCUCACCAGGUGCACAUAUUUCCUGCUGCUGAAUGGCUUAGACUGGGAUUUGCGAGGAAUCACGAAGUUCAAGACCUCUGCCUUUCUUUUAGAAGAAGGCACCAGCUGGUUCUCCAAUGUUGAAGGUCUUCUCCAGAGAUGAACUCUGAAAGCCACAUGUUGAGAUGGCCUCAUUACAGAUGGAGAGCGCCUGAACCCCCAAGUUAAGGAACAGCAGAAGAGAGUUGCCCUGGAAAAUCAUCUGACCCACAUUGGACUUUAUUGAAAGAGAAAACAAGGUCAUUUGUAUCAGAAAUGAUGGCAGAAGAGGCUUAAAAAUUUGGCAUUGUCACUGAGAAGAAUGAAGGAUGGAGCUGAUUAGAAAAUUGCAGGAUUGCUGAGCACUGUGAGAGGUUUGUCUGAAACUGGCUGUGAGCAGACUAGCGGUAUGUGGUCACUCUCAUGUGGGAGGGAAGCAGACCUUUUGUUGGCCUGGUCCGUAGGUGCGGUUGGAAGUGGAAUGAUGGGAAGCACUGUUGGAGUUAUUGGCAUAAGAAUGACCAUGGGCAAAUGGGCUCGGUUGGGAAGAAAAUGACCCUAGGAGUGAGGUGGCAAACUGAAACAAAAGGGAGGGGUCCAGAAUGUGGAGAUGAUGAUGAGGUGAGAGAAUGGGCAAAGAGAAAAAGCUGGAAAGAUAGGACAUUGUGUCAGAGACCUCAGGUUUUAAAAGGUCAGAGGUAGGACUAUUUUGGGUGAUGAAAAAUCCAAGACGUGUCACGAGAGUGAGUUGGGAAGAACAUAGCCAGCGAAAAGUAUUCAAGUAACGGUCAAGGAACCAGAAAGUCUUAGUGUUCAUUGGACACUGACCCCUUCUAGGAUGGUUGCAGAGGUUGGUUUCUAAAGCAACUGUGAGGCAGCAAGUGUGAGAUGGAAGAACCCGAGAGCUCAAAGAGAUAACACUUAUUUUAGGGAUGAAGACUAACCCAACUCUCAAGGUAGAAUUCUUGAUAAACACGGUCUCCUAGGCAAAGCAGAUGAAGGGCAGGGGGGGUCCGUUCCUCUUUGUUUUAUUACCAAGUUCUGCUAGGCCUGAACUGGUGGAACUCGGCUUAUUUUAACAGUGAAGGGGCAAAGUGAGUUAUUUUCAGUAUACAGAGAAGUGGAAACUUCGACAAGAAGAGUGUCAAUGACUUGCCCAAAAUGACACCACCAAAGUGCUGACCUCUGUCACUUCAUCUCCCUCUUCCUUCCCCUUGGCUGCUUUCCUGCGUGUAACCUAUUACAGCAGAGCCCGAUCAGCAUGGGCCUCCCUGUUGCGUGCCCUCUGGAGAUUUGGCAUUUAGAUUUGAUACAGGGAGGUGGAGGGGAAUUUUCCCACUUGGCAGAAUGUGUGAAAAUCAGGAGGGAAUGUUAUUCCUGCACAGCAACAAGCAGUAUCAAAUCAGUACUUCUUUCUUUCAUCGGACUCUGUUGCUAUUUAUGUAGAUUUAACAGUUCCAUAACAAUACCUUUUGCUUGGAAAGGUCUUUCUCUUACCAAAAAUGCAAAAAGA
Long non-coding RNA from Cercocebus atys (sooty mangabey), 2656 nucleotides. RefSeq lists it as uncharacterized. Lineage: Eukaryota; Metazoa; Chordata; Mammalia; Primates; Cercopithecidae. The transcript is spliced from 5 exons. The record is from RefSeq and is a predicted model, not a curated record.